GCCCUCGUGGUGUAGUGGUCAGCACGCUCGAUGCGUAAACGAGAGGUCCGUGGUUCAAUUCCCGGCGAAGGCG
RNAcentral lists this transfer RNA (73 nucleotides) under Stegodyphus mimosarum. It matches the Rfam family "tRNA". Rfam says of the family: Transfer RNA (tRNA) molecules are approximately 80 nucleotides in length. Their secondary structure includes four short double-helical elements and three loops (D, anti-codon, and T loops). Lineage: Eukaryota; Metazoa; Arthropoda; Arachnida; Araneae; Eresidae. The record is from Rfam by way of RNAcentral.